This 221-nucleotide ribosomal RNA is filed under the name uncultured bacterium. Its description in RNAcentral is "partial 16S ribosomal RNA". It matches the Rfam family "Bacterial small subunit ribosomal RNA", at positions 118 to 340 of the family's 1533-position model. The record is from RNAcentral.
UGAGCAAUCUGCCCUUCACAUCGGAAUAACCAUUGGAAACGAUGGCUAAUACCGAAUAUGACUUCGGAUCGCAUGAUCUGAAGUGGAAAGCUCCGGCGGUGAAGGAUGAGCUCGCGGCCUAUCAGCUUGUUGGUGAGGUAAUGGCUCACCAAGGCGACGACGGGUAGCCGGCCUGAGAGGGUGACCGGCCACACUGGGACUGAGACACGGCCCAGACUCCG